This 468-nucleotide ribosomal RNA is filed under the name uncultured bacterium. RNAcentral describes it as "partial 16S ribosomal RNA". It matches the Rfam family "Bacterial small subunit ribosomal RNA", at positions 28 to 507 of the family's 1533-position model. The record is from RNAcentral.
GACGAACGCUGGCGGCGUGCUUAACACAUGCAAGUCGAACGGAAAGGCCCUGCUUUUGUGGGGUGCUCGAGUGGCGAACGGGUGAGUAACACGUGAGUAACCUGCCCUUGACUUUGGGAUAACUUCAGGAAACUGGGGCUAAUACCGGAUAGGAGCUCCUGCUGCAUGGUGGGGGUUGGAACGUUUCGGCGGUUGGGGAUGGACUCGCGGCUUAUCAGCUUGUUGGUGGGGUAGUGGCUUACCAAGGCUUUGACGGGUAGCCGGCCUGAGAGGGUGACCGGCCACAUUGGGACUGAGAGACGGCCCAGACUCGUACGGGAGGCAGCAGUGGGGAAUAUUGCACAAUGGGCGGGAGCCUGAUGCAGCAACGCCGCGUGCGGGAUGACGGCCUGCGGGUUGUAAACCGCUUUCGCCUGUGACGAAGCGUGAGUGACGGUAAUGGGUAAAGAAGCACCGGCUAACUACGUG